CUGAAGCCAAUUAAGCCAACUGAUCUCCUUCCCUGUGGGGGCAGGAGUGCAGUGGCUGCAAAUAGCGGCCUCCUCAGUAGUGUAUGCAACAUUGCACAUAUGGGUUGCCCUAAGGGACCUUGGAGACAGCC
Trichechus manatus latirostris (Florida manatee) is the source of this 131-nucleotide small nucleolar RNA. RefSeq annotates it as small nucleolar RNA SNORA70. The transcript has a single exon. NCBI's taxonomy places the organism in Eukaryota, Metazoa, Chordata, Mammalia, Sirenia, Trichechidae. The record is from RefSeq and is a predicted model, not a curated record.